GGGCGGUUAGCUCAGUUGGUAGAGCAUCUCGUUUACACCGAGGGGGUCGGCACUGUCAUCACCCA
RNAcentral lists this transfer RNA (65 nucleotides) under Wolbachia endosymbiont of Dactylopius coccus. Its description in RNAcentral is "tRNA-Val". It matches the Rfam family "tRNA". Rfam says of the family: Transfer RNA (tRNA) molecules are approximately 80 nucleotides in length. Their secondary structure includes four short double-helical elements and three loops (D, anti-codon, and T loops). Further hydrogen bonds mediate the characteristic L-shaped molecular structure. tRNAs have two regions of fundamental functional importance: the anti-codon, which is responsible for specific mRNA codon recognition, and the 3' end, to which the tRNAs corresponding amino acid is attached (by aminoacyl-tRNA synthetases). tRNAs cope with the degeneracy of the genetic code in two manners: having more than one tRNA (with a specific anti-codon) for a particular amino acid; and 'wobble' base-pairing, i.e. permitting non-standard base-pairing at the 3rd anti-codon position. The record is from RNAcentral. Lineage: Bacteria; Pseudomonadati; Pseudomonadota; Alphaproteobacteria; Rickettsiales; Anaplasmataceae.